Athalia rosae (coleseed sawfly) is the source of this 1301-nucleotide long non-coding RNA. RefSeq lists it as uncharacterized. Lineage: Eukaryota; Metazoa; Arthropoda; Insecta; Hymenoptera; Athaliidae. The transcript has 4 exons. The record is from RefSeq and is a predicted model, not a curated record.
GACGGCGCUCGCGGUUCUUAUCAGUGUCAGUUCGCUCUUCUCUACCGAUCAGAUCACCUCGCGGUUUUGCUAAAAUAUCAACGGGUCUUUGAGUACGUGGGUCAUUUUUUGAUGGGCAUACACAGUCUACCGAGGUCAUCUUUAUCUGAAUCCUCAGAGCUAGAGUGUUCAAAGUUGUCAGCAAACAUUCUUUCUUCACCCCGAAGUUCUUCAACACUGGGUUUUUUGGUAUUGGCUGAGACUACGCUCAAAAUGCUUUCAAAAACUUUGGGACCUUCCAUAUUUUUGUGAUGAUUCCUGUCGAGCAAAAUACUGAAAUCAAUAUCCUGUUCAGCUUAUUAUUACAGAUUUAAAACAUGUUCAACGGUUGACUAAUUCGGUCGACGUUUUAACUCACCAUGUGGGAAGCACGCGCCACGCAAGGGUAACCAGCAAACGUCAUUUGAGCUUGAAGCCACACACUUCAAGUUGAAAGAAAGAUUCCAUCAGAGUGCUAACAAAUGCAGGCCAGCUUCACCAUCCCAGAUUUAUUUCUAAUUUUUUCCUGAUUAUAUCUCAUUUUUCCCGAGUAAUUUUCGAUUUUUUAAGUAAUUAUUCAAUUACCACAUCUUCCCCGCCGAAAAAGUGACAACUAGCGCCAAAAAGCGUAACACCGGCUCGCGGAACUCGGAUGAACUAAAAUUUCAAGUUUCUUGCCCCUUGACGCCACGAGACCCGCCUUACAACAAAGAUGUAAUUUCGUUGACUGAUAAUAACUAACAAUAAGAAGAAUAAGAGUGCAUCCUCAAAAGCAGAGGGGCUAGACUGACAGCUAGAAAAUUGAAUUCAAUCUAGAGAAGAGUCCUAUCAUACUUGGUUGUUUUUUGGCAUGAAUACCAGAAGAGUUGAUCACUGCUAUUCGUUUCAUUCUUCCAGGUCGAACUGUAUUUAUCCCAGAGGAGAAUGCACAGCUGAAAUGACAGAGUCCUUGUGGUACACGUCAGAUGUUAUUAUUACACCCCUGUGUACCUUAGCGGAAAGUCAGUGCUGGUGUGUCGCUGGACAAGGUCCAGCUGCCCACCGCAAGCAUGUUGUUGCUCUGCUUUUGAAAACGACACAGAGAGUUGGAGGAGAAGAAAUCAUACUUCCUAGUACAUGUAUCUACUCGAGAACUGCAGUCAUUCCAUACUGGCCCUAUUUCUGAACCCCUCUUGAAGUUCAAGAUUCGGAUUCCUGAGAUCAAAAUACAUGAGGAUAGCGUGAGGAGCCCUUCACAAAAAAAUCUGUGCUUUCAUCUCAGAUUUUGAGAAAAUUCCAAGGCU